AACGAACGCUGGCGGCAUGCCUAACACAUGCAAGUCGAACGAGACCUUCGGGUCUAGUGGCGCACGGGUGCGUAACGCGUGGGAACCUGCCCUUAGGUUCGGAAUAACUCCCCGAAAGGGGUGCUAAUACCGGAUAAUGUCUUCGGACCAAAGAUUUAUCGCCUUUGGAUGGGCCCGCGUUGGAUUAGCUAGUUGGUAGGGUAAAAGCCUACCAAGGCGACGAUCCAUAGCUGGUCUGAGAGGAUGAUCAGCCACACUGGGACUGAGACACGGCCCAGACUCCUACGGGAGGCAGCAGUGGGGAAUAUUGGACAAUGGGCGAAAGCCUGAUCCAGCAAUGCCGCGUGAGUGAUGAAGGCCUUAGGGUUGUAAAGCUCUUUUACCCGGGAUGAUAAUGACAGUACCGGGAGAAUAAGCGCCGGCUAACUCUGUG
RNAcentral lists this ribosomal RNA (433 nucleotides) under uncultured bacterium. RNAcentral's name for it is "partial 16S ribosomal RNA". It matches the Rfam family "Bacterial small subunit ribosomal RNA", at positions 29 to 507 of the family's 1533-position model. The record is from RNAcentral.